Molecule: ribosomal RNA, 465 nt
Filed under: Vreelandella stevensii
Lineage: Bacteria; Pseudomonadati; Pseudomonadota; Gammaproteobacteria; Oceanospirillales; Halomonadaceae
Description: partial 16S ribosomal RNA
Rfam family: Bacterial small subunit ribosomal RNA
Source: RNAcentral
CCUACGGGUGGCAGCAGUGGGGAAUAUUGGACAAUGGGCGAAAGCCUGAUCCAGCCAUGCCGCGUGUGUGAAGAAGGCCUUCGGGUUGUAAAGCACUUUCAGUGGGGAAGAAAGCCUUGGGGCUAAUACCCUCGAGGAAGGACAUCACCCACAGAAGAAGCACCGGCUAACUCCGUGCCAGCAGCCGCGGUAAUACGGAGGGUGCGAGCGUUAAUCGGAAUUACUGGGCGUAAAGCGCGCGUAGGCGGUCUGAUAAGCCGGUUGUGAAAGCCCCGGGCUCAACCUGGGAACGGCAUCCGGAACUGUCAGGCUAGAGUGCAGGAGAGGAAGGUAGAAUUCCCGGUGUAGCGGUGAAAUGCGUAGAGAUCGGGAGGAACACCAGUGGCGAAGGCGGCCUUCUGGACUGACACUGACGCUGAGGUGCGAAAGCGUGGGUAGCAAACAGGAUUAGAUACCCUAGUAGUC